RNAcentral lists this ribosomal RNA (318 nucleotides) under uncultured Chloroflexota bacterium. RNAcentral describes it as "bacterial SSU rRNA". It matches the Rfam family "Bacterial small subunit ribosomal RNA", at positions 28 to 351 of the family's 1533-position model. Lineage: Bacteria; Bacillati; Chloroflexota. The record is from RNAcentral.
GAUGAACGCUGGCGGCGUGCGUAACACAUGCAAGUCGAACGAACCUGAUCUUCGGAAAGGGUUAGUGGCGGAUGGGUGAGUAACACGUAGGUGACCUGCCCUGGCAAGGGGGAUAACUACUGGAAACGGUAGCUAAUACCCCGUACGAUCACCGGGUCGGACUGGUGAUGAAAGGCGAAAGCCGUGCUGGGAGGGGCCUGCGGCCCAUCAGGUAGUUGGUGGGGUAAAGGCCUACCAAGCCGAUGACGGGUAGCUGGUCUGAGAGGAUGGUCAGCCACACUGGAACUGAAACACGGUCCAGACUCCUACGGGUGGCUG